RNAcentral lists this ribosomal RNA (298 nucleotides) under uncultured bacterium. RNAcentral's name for it is "partial 16S ribosomal RNA". It matches the Rfam family "Bacterial small subunit ribosomal RNA", at positions 333 to 622 of the family's 1533-position model. The record is from RNAcentral.
UGCAGCCUACGGGGGGCAGCAGUGGGGAAUCUUCCGCAAUGGGCGCAAGCCUGACGGAGCAACGCCGCGUGAAUGAAGAAGGUCUUCGGAUCGUAAAGUUCUGUUCUUAGGGAAGGAGUCUUUUCUUGUGAAUAAUGGGAGAAGGUGACGGUACCUAUGGAGAAAGCUCCGGCUAACUACGUGCCAGCAGCCGCGGUAAUACGUAGGGAGCGAGCGUUGUCCGGAAUUACUGGGCGUAAAGGGCGCGUAGGCGGGAACUUAAGUUAGAUGUGAAAACUCCGGGCUCAACCUGGAGACU